AGAGCGAACGCUGGCGGCAGGCUUAAUACAUGCAAGUCGAGCGCCUGUAGCAAUGCAGGAGCGGCAGACGGGUGAGUAACGCGUGGGAACGUACCCUUUGGUUCGGAACAACACAGGGAAACUUGUGCUAAUACCGGAUAAGCCCUUACGGGGAAAGAUUUAUCGCCGAAGGAUCGGCCCGCGUCUGAUUAGCUAGUUGGUGAGGUAAUGGCUCACCAAGGCGACGAUCAGUAGCUGGUCUGAGAGGAUGAUCAGCCACACUGGGACUGAGACACGGCCCAGACUCCUACGGGAGGCAGCAGUAGGGAAUAUUGGACAAUGGGGGCAACCCUGAUCCAGCCAUGCCGCGUGAGUGAUGAAGGCCUUAGGGUUGUAAAGCUCUUUUGUGCGGGAAGAUAAUGACGGUACCGCAAGAAUAAGCCCGGCUAACUUCGUGCCAGCAGCCGC
This 447-nucleotide ribosomal RNA is filed under the name uncultured bacterium. Its description in RNAcentral is "SSU rRNA". It matches the Rfam family "Bacterial small subunit ribosomal RNA", at positions 26 to 518 of the family's 1533-position model. The record is from RNAcentral.